Taeniopygia guttata (zebra finch) is the source of this 14206-nucleotide non-coding RNA. The record is from RefSeq and is a predicted model, not a curated record. Lineage: Eukaryota; Metazoa; Chordata; Aves; Passeriformes; Estrildidae.
CAACAGAGCGGCUUCUCCCUGCCUCUUUCUCUUCUAUUUACUCUUAUAUAUGCAGGUAUAUAUAAGAUCAUAUUCCAACGCCGAUUUCGGAACAGAGCCGGCCGGGUGCAUCCCCUUAGGAGCCCCGUCUGUGUGCGGGGCUGGCGGGUGGUGCCGAGGCGCAGACCCGCUCAGCAUCCCACCCGUGCCUGCGAUCCGCGGCUUUGUUCAGAGUGCCCACCCUGCAGAGAGGCUUUCAUCUCAGAGGAGUGGUGGAGGUACUGUAGUAGCACACUGGUACAUUUUGAAGGGAUGUGUUAUUAUUGGAAAAUUAGGGUGACAUUGUUUUUUUUCUGGGUUUUUUUUUUUUUUUUUUUUUUUUUUUACUUGCACGUCCACUGUGACUAGUUUUUUCCCCAGUGGAAAUUCAUGUUUUGGAGAAACCUGUCACAUCCCCUGGCUAACCAGCACCACUCACAAAGUACUGUCAGAAGGGAAAAGGUUUGCUUCUCUGGUUAAAAAUGCUGUGAUUCGCUCAUACUUUUGUAAGCUGAACUUUGCUGACACCUAAAAAAAUUGCAGGGACUGCAGCCCACCCCGUUGGUUUUUAUGAUCCAUUUCAGUGCUCAGCGGUGCCGGCUGGCUUGAGACUUCAAGCAGCCCGGGGAUUGUCCAGCAAUAACUCAGCUUCAGCAUUUCCUCACUGGUGCAGCGCUCCAGCUGGGCACAGAAAUGCAGUUGAAGCAAUCUACACGUUAGUCAGAAUUAUUGUCAUUUUUCCUUCCCAGAAAUACGUAGCUAUCCACAGAGGGCAGGCGAAUGAGAGGCAGGCAUUGUUGUGUGAAAGAAAUAGGGGGUUUUCUACAGAGGUCUUUGUCCUGAAGUGCACUAUAUGAGUUUUCACUAGACUUCAUCUAAAAGCAAGGCAUUUCCCCUGUGACGUUACAUUUACCUUUCCCUUUCGGUUGCUGGGGAGCUCAACAUGCACCCAGAGGCAGAAGGAUCUGUAAAACAGAAAAUGAAAUUUCAGAUGCUAUGACUUUAAUAAGGAACACUUACUUAGCAACUGAAUAUCUUUGAGUCGACAGUGAAAAUGAGAGUUCCAGCCAAGUUGUAGAGUCAUAUCAUAUAUGCUUUCAGUUUAUUAGCUCAUUUGGAGGCUAGCUAAAGAGAAACCAGAGAUGGACAUCUCUGCACAUGCUCACUCUAAGUCCAUGAUUUUUAAAGUUUGCUGUCUUGGCUGUUUUACAACUUCAGGCUAACAAAAGCUUCAGGCUAUAUUGUAUGCUAACUAUUAUUUUUAAAGUAGAUUAAUUUUGAGUUGCAUUAUAAAAUGUAGUAAAUAAGCAAAUAAGAAAACAUCUCUUUUCAAGGAGUUGAGAAAUUAAUGAAAAAAGGGCGGCAGUAAUGUACCAUGAGAUUUGGCUUUGGAAAGAGCUCUCACAGAGGAAUGGAUGUAGAGUAGCUAGAUGUGUGUCUCAUCUAACUUAAGAACACACUAGGUCUUCCCAUAUUUUGCCAACUGUCAAGCUCUUCAGCUGCACGGUUAAAGGUUACUUCGAUGUUAUGGUCUGAACUGAAUUUAUAUGGCUAAUGCCAUCCUGAAAUGGAGAGAGUGAAAAUCAGAAUACCUAUGCAAUCUUAAAUGCAAUAAAAAUGUAACAUUCGCUGUAUCAGCUAGUAUGUAGAAGCUGAACAAGUCCUUACCAGGGUGUGAGUUUUUUACUGGAGUAAUGCAAGCCUUGGCGUGUGGCACUUCGUAAUUAUUAACUAGUCUGCAGGCGAGCUCUGGUGUAACGUGUCUAUUUGAACUGUAACAUCUGUGAGUGUAUGUAAAAUAUCCACAGUUUGUCUGCUUGCAGAAUAAAAGCUAGUUGUCAGGAAUCCAGCCAGAUCUCAGUGAAUGGAAAACGCUUCUUGUUUCCUGACAGUUCCCUUGUCUGGCUGUUACAUUGAACACUGAUUCCUUUCCAUGGGUGAGAUAAGAGAAGUGACGGGAGAUGACUGAGAGGGGCAGCUUUUCUUUGUUUUUUCCACCCCUCUUUCUCUUCCCUUUCCUCUUCUCAGUUCUUAUUUGUGGCAGUAUUUGCAUUAUCCAUGAGCAGGUUAGACCAGAUACUGCCGUGUCCAGCAGGGGAUGCACAGAGCAGGGGAUGUGGCCGGCACUGCUAGUUGCACUAUGUCCAAUGCCCAUCCUAUUGCAACUGGCAGCAUGAGUCCUAAGGUGCCCUCGUCCAGGCUGUUUGCUUCCUAUUCUGUUACUGGUUUAGCUGAUCAUCACUUUCUUUACUCAGUGGUAAGCAGGUAUUUGAAGCUGUAUGGUAACAGAUUGCAAAGCUGGACCUUAUGUUCCCAUUCAUCAGUGUUGUUCAAGCAAUUCUCCUCUUUAGCCUUUCCACCUCUCUUGUCUGUCAAGAAUUUCUUUAGCUGCAUGGAAUUUAAUGAAGGGGUUUGCGUGAUUAGCCAGGCUUUUAAUGUGAAGCACAAGCUUUGGAUUUGUUGUCAUCUGUAUAAACAGAGCUUAGAAAUUAAAUAAACUGGGUGGUUUGGGUAAAUAAAGUAAAACCAAGGUGAGAAGAUAGUUCAAUGCAAAGUACAGAUGUGCUUUAAUCCUAUGCCAUUGGAAAUCAAUAGCAGGAUUUCUGUUGACUUUAAUGAAAGUAGUAUUUGGCACGUGUUAGCAGGUUACAGGUUUAUUCAAAUUGUUAUUCCUCUUAACUUUAUUGUCUUUCCUUAUAACACAGUGGAAUGUGAUCAUGAAGUUUCCUGCCAUAAAGCUCCGGGGUAGAUUGUAUGAUACAUUUGGUUUGUUAUUGGAAACAACUUAGAUUAAUUUGUGCAUUAGUUACCACAGUGACUACAGACAGUAUUGCAUGCUGCGUGGAGCAGUUAAAAUAUUGCCUGGUAUAUGAUGUAUGAGGUGCCUAAUUUUGCCAGGAAGGUUUCUUCAUUAGUGCUGUCUCAGUAUACACAGUUCUAACUUACAACAUUUUAAAUUAAGGCACCUGUUAGCAAGUGUAAGGAUGAAGAGAUGGUAUCUCAAGCCUGUGAAGUAACACUCAUGUUGAUGUUUCUAUGGGUGUUUUUUCCACUUGUCAUCUUGCACAUGUUAAAUCAAAGAAUGGAACUUUUGUUUCUGUUAUAUAUUCAACGUUUGCUAGCCAAGAAAUCCACAGUUAUGUUUAUUUCAGCCUUAUUUAAGGUGUGUAUUGAACACCUCUGGCUGGUUCUGUGCACGGUGCACGAAGGUGGUAAAUGCUGCUGGAUUCUUCUUUGAGUAAAUUAUUCCACUGGAGUAAAUACUCAUUAGAAUGCAAAUUCAGAUUACAGAUAGGCGUUUUCUGUUUGCUGUUUGCAAAACCCAGGAAGUUUGUCUCCCUUUCUCUCCCUAGGCUGCACUUGGGAGGCAAUGAGGAGUAGCUGCAGGAGCCUGCCUCCCCUCCUCCUUCAUUUCCUUCUUUCUGCCUGAGCCACAACAUCUUUUCUUCCUCCUCACCAGCAGGUGGAGGAAGCACUAUUCUCCUCCAGCUGUUCCUCCAGAAAGUUAAUUAUUUUGGGAAUUGAUGACAAGCAGCAGCCCAACAUGAAGAACAGGCACGUGGUGCAUAUUUGGACAGGCAUGUUAUGUGUGGUGGCUGCCGUGUGUUAUUUAUCUCUUUUGCAUAAUAAGUGCAGGUAGAAGGAUAUUGCCAAAUGAAAUUUGUUUCUGGAUCAAAAUCUUGUAAAAAACCCUCAAACUUUAAAGCAACUGAUUUUUUUUAUUUACAACUGCAGUGCAAAUCUUUGCUUUGAAACAGGUCUGCUUCUUGAUGUAUUUGAAGGGUCAAGCAGGGUUUUUGAAACCUGGAACAGCAACAGAUGACAUGAAAGGAAGACUUUUGCUUUGCUGAUUGUAUUUCUCCAUAUCACGACAAAACCAAAACAUGAACAUCAACAAUGAUAGCUCUGUCAUGUCAGUAAUUAAGGCCUUGUUGGCCACGCAACCAUUUGUUUGGAGUGUGGUUUUUAAGAGUUCCUUAUAACAGGAUAAUAGUGUACUUGUGGGUUGCUGAGGGCAGUGAAAGCCAGGUGAAACAUUUGUUCUCUCACCUGCGCUGUCAAUAUCACAGAAAAUGUCAGUAUCCCUCUGAUGCAUGUGAUUUUGUUUUUAAUCUUUAAUAAUAUAUUUCCAUUUUUUCCCUUGAGAAUUUCUUCAGUUAGCACUUCAGUCACUGCUUCAUAUUGAUUUUUAUCUUGAUUGCUUGGUGUGCAUCUUCUGCAGGAUAAUGUCCAAAUACGACACAGAAUCUGUUUAUUUCUUUUGAAGUUCUUUGUUGCUCUUACUAAGACAUCUUCCUUUGUAGCAGACACAGGGAUAAGUAUCUACACAAUGCUGCUGUGAUGUGAAGCAUCUGUACAGUACUUUGCUUAGCAGGCUCCUGAUUCAUGAAUGUGGCUUCCACAGCUCUGAUAAUACACUUCAAUUAUAGUAACAAUAGCUUGUAUUACUACCCCAUUUUAUACACAAGAAGUGAAAAAACUUGGCAAUUCAAGCCAAAAUCACCGAAAAUUUCAAGUAGUUUUGAGUGCACAGCCAGGUCCCUGAUUCAUCCGGACAUGUAGACUAUAUAACAUCAGAAUCCUGUGGAUGACACUCUCCUCUUGCAGAGCUCAGCCUGUCCUGCCUCCUGGCCUCUCUCUUUACCCGAGGCUUUUGUCCCUGUGUGACAUCCAGCAUCGGUCUCCAUUCCUGGCCCUUUUGUACUCAGCUGCCUCCCGCUUUGUUGUGUGUGCCAGCGCGGUGACCCGCGCAGGGCGCGCAGCUCUGCUCCCUGCUCCCAAGCUGGCUGCCAGCAGGAUCUGUGCAGCCUGUGGGGGCUGCUGCGGGCACCUCUCCUGCCCUGCUGCACUCACAUGGGCCCAGAGGUUCUUCAGGGCAAAAGGGAUUUUUACAAAACAUAUCACCUGAAUCUUUUGCAUGUAUGUAUGUGUGUAUUUAUUUAUUUAUUUAAGAUGUUUAAACUGAGUUCCUUUAGGGACUCGUAAUGUGAGCAAAUCUGGGCAGUGUUUUCACCGUGCUGAAGGCGUGUUAGUGAAACUCGGGUCAUCCUCUGCAUGCAUGGAAAUUCUAGAUCUGGAAUGAACAGAAGUUGGAAAGAGUAUAUGGGUUUGAAAAUAGUUUUGCUGUUAAUUUGUUAUUUGUUCUACCCUUAGCUAUUAGAUGUGUUCCGAAAUUGUGGUUUAAAAAAUAGCAGCAAAUGGAAAGAAACCCACUGGAAUUAUUCUAAUGUAAUUCACAGUGAAUAUUGUGGGCUUUAUUACCAUAGGAGUUACUACCUUGUAUCAAAUUGCUGCAGUCUUCAUAUAAACACUUGGAUAAUUGAAAUGCCAAAGAAAACCUUAACAUUAAGGGGUGCAGACAGAAAAAUACUGAUUAUAGCAUGAAGGUCAUCAGGAGAAAGGCACUGGAACAGAUUACUAGUUUUCUGCACUGAGAAUUUCUGUUGGAGAAGCAGAUUUGGUCAGGGAAGUAUGGGUCAGUGGUAUGAAAGUCUGAAUUAAUGACUAGCCAGUAAGGGGUCAUCUGAAUAUAUUAGUUUGUCAAAUCUUGUACCAAAUUAAAGAACAGCAUGUUCUUUGAGCUUUGAAUGAAGAUCAAGUGAUAUUCUUUCAAUGAUGUUGCACUUCCUUACAGGUGAAGAAAUUAAAAAUGUCCAGAGACUUGCAUUUUUUUUUUUUCUCCUGCAUUAGAUUGAGCAAUUUUGGGCAGAUAAUUAACUUCCUGUGUCUCAGUGUAUUCCUUUCUGGAGGGGUUAAUAUGGGAAGGUUAAACUAAUGAACAGGACACAUUAUGGCUUGAUGCACACGUAGUGUGAUUCCCUCUACAUGUGAAAUUUCACAACAGAAGUUGAGCCAAUGUUUUUAAUGUAGCUUUCAGCUAAAACACUAUAAAAUGCCUAAGUGUUUUUACAAAUGGUUUCAUAGCACCAUGUGCUAGAGAACACAAGAGAAUGGAAAUUGCUUGUACAAAGUCUUUAAUUAGAUAUUGCUAAAAUGUACUGCAUUUUUAAUGGCAUGUGUUCUAAAAAUUAUUAUUAUUUUUUUAGGAACCACAGUGUGGAUUUGCCUUGUGGAGACAGUUAUUGUAUAUAUUGUAGUUCGGGGUCAUACAUGUUGAAUAAAACCAUGUGGAAUGUUCAGUUCUUGUGAACAAUUGUUUAUUCUUCACAGAACUGUAAUUGUAGUUAGUCUGUGUUUUGUCUGGUAAAUAAGUAACUAGAGUCUCUGCUGGAGUGAGGAAUUGGGAGGAGGCACACAGUGGCCACAACAGUUCCAAGGAAGAAUGACACAUGUGUGGGUUGAAAACCAGCUCUGGGUGUAUCAGCCCUGAACACCAGCAGGUGAACAUGUGUACAGCCAUGGUUAUCCAGAUGUAGAGCCUAUGGAACACGUUUCCAAAAGCUGUGUACCAGGCUUUCAGAGGCUGGUUGAUGACCUUCGGUUUGAGACGAGCAUCUGCCUGGUUCUAGUCUCUCCCGCUUGUACCACACUAAUGUACUCUCUGUCUACAUCAACUGGGAUGCUGAUGUCGAAGAACCUCCUCUUGCUGUGCAACCGUGCUCCUCUCAGCAGGACACUGUUCUACUUACUGUUGUCUUGUAUGUUUUCCUCUAAAGCGGGACCAAACAAUAUUUUCUGCCACAGCUCUGAAUGAUCUUCUGAAGCCAGAGGUGCAGGUUUGCCUCCAGGCUUGGGGUGGGAUAGGAGCUCACAGCAUGGAUAGCAAAAGCCAGUGGUGGCUCCUCAGUGUGCUGGCCAGAGCCUCAGCAUCUCCUGGCCUGGGUCAGGCUGGAGGCUGCAGCCAGUGCCCAUCUCGGAUGUUUUGUGUUGAUGGUUUGCACGUUCACAUGGGAAUUUCUGACCUACAAGAGCACGUCCUUCUUGCCUCCUCCAUAAGUCGGGAUUUGUCCCUAAAUUGCCCAGGUGUGUACCAGACACUUUAUAGAAAAACCUCUUGUCAUUAGCACUGAUGGGUCGAUGUACUUAGGAUAUUUAAUAUGUCAGAGGAAAUGUCUCAGAUGAAAAGGUCUCCAACUAAAUAUGUAAAUGAUAUUUGUCAGCGUUUCCUUCAAAUAUCUUCCAGCAGAUGUGAGUACCAUGUGUGUCCAUUUAAUAAACUAAACUGAAAAUAAUUUCCACUUUGCUAGAUAUAUUGGGGAAUAGCUGGGGAGGGCGGGGAGUGAACUACAAAGCAAGGUAAAAACUGCAUAUGUGUGUUGUUAUAUUUGAUGACCAAUUCAUUAAAGCCAUAAGUGUAUCCAGGCUUUCAAUAGUGUUCUCCUGCUGUUGCUUCCUGUACUCUCUGGCUACAAAAUCAGUCUCUAUGGCUCUCAUUUGUCUUACCCACAUGAAAGACUUCAAGCAUCUGAAAGUUAUGAUUUGAGAAGUAUCUGCUUUUAAACAGAAUAUAUUUUAUCACCGUGUCUUCACAGGCAGCAUAGUACAUUGUAUAAAUUAGAGGAUCCUAGACCUUUGAACACUCAGAGGCUGGGUGAGGUACUCCGUGUGUGUACUGUGUCUGGCCAUACCCCUCAAACAUCCUGGACCCACACCAAAAAUGCCAGAUGUUCAGUAGACGUGGAGGCCCUCCUGUAACCUUUGCUGUGUGCUGCAAAGCAUGGAGGGGCAAGGUUGUAACCAUCCCUUGAUCUUCCAUGGUUCUUGUACUCUUAUUUGAGCUCCAUAAUUUCUGUAUUUUCAACUACAAACCAAGGGCCAAUUCUCAAUUCAAUCUGUUAAACUAUUGCAUGGUAUAAGCUCAUUGUAUCCCCCAACUCUCCAAAGACAGAUGGAAUUUGCUUAGCUCUGAUGGCUUUUGAGCCAUCAGUCCUUAAAGCUGCCAUUGGUCCAUGAUGCGAUGGAAGUCCUGGGUCUUGCUCAAGUAUGGACUUUUCCAGGCUCUAUCCUUACCGGAGUAGGAGAUAAUAAAAUACUUUAAUAGGUGGUUCCUUUCACAUGAAACAAACCCAGUCACAGAGCAGCUAUGGGACAAGGGGUUGGCAUGGCUGGUGUGUGUGAAACCAUCCCAACCAGUUUAAGUCAAUGCAAACAUCACAAAAUAAAUGUAGGUCUUGUUUUUUACAAGUAUUAAGAAAACUGCAGCUGAGAUUGCUGAGCUUAGCAUGCUCCUGAUGUAACAGUUAAUUUCUGGAUUCUUCCUGAGCCUUCUCACUGUCAGCAUUUCCCACUUCACCUCACUACACCCUCAUCAUGGUGCCUGAGAGCCUUUGCUGCUGGGUCCCUGAGACACCAGCCUGGUGAAUGGGAGGGUCUGCUGCACCUUGUGUGGGGCUGGCAGCCUUUGUGACAGAGCAUCGGUGGUUGGCAGGCUGUGCUUCCUCUGUUGCCUUCCUGGGGAACGUUGGUGAUCCCAGAGCCCCUCGGUGACUCUGGCGCAGCAGCCGCAUAUGGGAUGACUUAAGGCUGGAGCAGUGUCUUUGUUCUGAGGUCUGGCGGCUUGAGGGACGUGCAAUUAUCCUAAUGUCUGGCUGGGCCGUGGAGCUGAGUCAGCAUGUUUGGCCUUGAGCAGCACUGCCUCAGAAUAAAGACACUAAUUAAGGGAUAUUAGGCUUAAAAAAAGAAUAAUUUAUUGUUCCUGCGAAAAGAUACCAAGUUCAGGGACUAAAUUUAGCUAUUCCUUGGUAGAUCAGAAAAACUGGGGUCCUGCUGUUGAUGGAGAUCUCAAAGCCUUCAUAUCAUGUUUCCUGUACACAAUAAGGCAUUUGAUCUCUGGUGGUAUUUCUAAUCUCUAUUAAAUGCCUGAUGGUGAAAGAUACCUGCUUUUAUUUGAGGUACAAGUGUUACUUUAAAAAUGAAUGUGAAUAUUUUUUUAAUCACAAAAGAUAGCAGUAAGGGUUGGGUAGAAAUACUUUUUUGAGCUGUGUGGUAGCUAUGCAAAUGUUUCUUUUUGUUAAACGGUGCUUUGUUGUUGACAAAAAAAGGUUAAGUCCUUUGCACACAAGUCUGACAGGGGAAGACAGCAAAGCAUUUGUUAAAGAAAUAGCUUCCAAGGCACGUGUUCAGAGCUGUCACUUAUUUGCAUAUUUUUGCCACUGCACAAAUCAAACAUUAUGGCUUCCCCAGCAGAGUGCAGCUCAGGAAGGAGGAGCAAAGGUGCCUGGAGAUGCCUGGGGACAGCUAGCUGGUGCAGUGGAUUCUGCAGGGCAGAGCCGCAGGCUGUUGUUUUGCUGAGAGGAAAUAAAACAGCCUUUGGGAGGGCAAGAGGGAAGAGUGCAACCUUCCCAUCUGAUGGGGCUUGUAGAGUAGAGUUGCAGUCAAAUGUCUGCUCCAGGAAAUUUUAGUUGAACUGUGCGAGUCCAUUAAACAAAUGUAAUGGAUUUUUGGAAAGAAGAACUGCAUGUUUCAAACCAAAUGUUUUACAUAGAGAACAUCUGGUUAGUUCUGGACGUUUGUAUGUAGAGCACAUCAGACAGCAGCCGUAGUGAAUUCAUCUGGGAGGUUGCCUGGGAUGUAGUUGUAGGAUAUGACAGUUCAGUUGUUAUGGGGAAUAAUUCCUAUGAAGUAUUGCCAUAAACUGAAUCUUUGGCACAAACAGCAGUAUCUUCGUUUGACUGCACACCCAGUUUAGUCUUCUUAUCUGCCCAGAAAAACUCUAGGUGCUGUUUAAAUAACCCAGUAAAAGCUGGCACCUCAGAGCUGUAUUCAAGCAUGCCCAAGGAGGCGAAAUGAAGCUUGAUCUGUGUUCAGGGAAGCACUACGGAUUCCUGCCGUGGGCAGUGCAGCACGAGUGAGCAAUGCAUGCAAUAUGUGCAAAUGGUUUGUAGGGUUGAGUUGGAAAUGAUCAGUGUUCCACUGGUGUUGUGUGGUGUUGCUUUGAGCAAUGUGAAUAUGCAAAACUGGUGAAAUGCAUGUAAUUAGCCUGACAUUAGAGUUUAUUUGGGCUACUGGAAGAACUUUAACCUGGGUAAAUCAAUAAGUCUGCUUUUAUUUCACAGCAUCAGAAAUAAUAUAUUUUCAGGAAAUGUAGAAAAAUGUCUUAUUUGGGAGUUGGUCCUUUAAUUAUUUCUGCAGUUUAACUGAGGAGUGUGUGGUUCAAAUGAGAUUAAAGUUGUAAUUUCCAAAGUAGCAAUGCAGCUUCCCAUUUCAGGAUUGCUCAACUAAAAAGUUAAACAAAGUGGGUUAGGCAGUCUCUUGGUCCAGUCCCUUGUGGACAGCAAUUCGCAUUAUGCAGCACUGCUUUAAUAGUCCUGCUCGGUCUGACAUGAUUUGUGGUAUUUGCUGAGAUGAGUUUCUGGACUGAGCAGCAUGAAAGGGAAUUGCUCCUCACUCUGAGGAAGGGUGUAUGUCCAAGUCUGUGCGAAGGUCACUGGCAGGGUGAAGUGGGAAGCCUGGGCUGCUGUUGUUACACUACCUAACAGCUUAGCUUCUGGCAAGGGGAUCCCAGAAAUAUGAGUUCUAACUCUCGCUUGUUCAACUGACUCCAGCCAAAACACGUGCCAAAAAAGGUGUCUGUGCAUGUUGAAGAAGGGGGCAACAGUCCUGGAGCUCUCAGGGUCUGGGGGAGUUCUUAGGCAAAAGCUUUCCAUCCUGAAAAAUAAUUGCUUUGUGCUUUCUUUUCCCCUUCCAAAGUUAAGUCUCCUCAUAACAGCUUAGAACAACUGCCUACAGUUGUAAACUCCUCUUCUAGUGAGGAAAGCUGGAAUUAUGCAUUUAAGGCUGCAGAAUUGCUCAAUCACCAGCCACUUAAUUGUAGGAAAGUGUAAUUCAUUCCUCACGCUCUCACAUCCAAUCCAAGCCCAACUGGCUGCAGGGAGCAAGAGUGUUCCUGUUCCUGUGUUUCUCUCCUGAGCCAUUAGGGUGGCCCUGGUAAUCUACUUUCAAUAAAUAGAAGGGAGCAACAGGAGGUUCCUCUACCUUCAGGGGUGUAAAUAUUUCUCAGAAAUCAGAGACGGAUGGGGAAAAAAUCUUAGCAAACUCCUUUCCUCCUGCUGUAGUAAUUCCACCAGAUUCCGUCAUAAAUUCUAAGACAGUCCCUUCCCAGAAGGGACCAUUAAAUAGGUAAUGUCCAGGAAGAACAGUGUAAUACUGAAGCACUGUGUUAACAAAAAUGAGUUUAAUAUUGCAAAGCUAUCUGUAAGCCCUGGAGCAAAAUAAUCUGGGUGAGGCUUUGAUACAUGAUUGCCAAUCUUUUUGUUUUCCAAGAGUAUUUUUCCAGAUAGGAUACAGAUUUAUAGUUUGCUAGAUUCUCACCAGGAAGUGGUGUUUAUAUUUUGAUUCAUCUUAGAUCAAUUUAGGAAAGUAUACUAGAUACAGGUGCUUCUGAUAGUUCCAUGUCAUUAACCAUUCCAACUGUGCUGUUUAAACACAUCUGUGCACCUUCCAUCAUAUAAUUUCUGUGGCCCACUGUCUUUGCACAAUGAAUCCUUGCUCAUCAAUGUAAAUCAAAAGGACUAAAGUCUAUAAAUUCAGCUUUAAAAAUCUCUUCACACUUAAAAAUUCCAUUCUGUUAAUUAGGAAUUUCAGGUGGUCAGACAUUAUGGUGUUAGGUUUUAGUGAGUGUUGUGGUGGUUGAAAGUACAGACAUUUCUUUUAGAAAAGACUCUUCCCAAGUUUUUUUCCUUGUACUAUUGUAAUUCUCAUGGUGAAACAGCACUUCCCUUUUUUCUCAGAAGGACUGUAGAACUGGAGAGCAAAAUCAAAAGAUCCACACAAUACCAGCUGACUUCACAUUUCUGGUGGAAGAGGCAUUAUAAAGAUGUGCAAAGCUCUCAGUGAUUCUGAGGUUUCUCUGAACUCACAGAAGCUUCAGCGAAAAAGAGAAAAUAAUCCAAGUUACAUUUGUUAAUCCACAACUUUCUCAAGCAGAACCUACCAAUGAAUGAAAAUGUGCUGUAAGGUGGUUUCUUGGGAAAAAAACUGGUUCUAAGAGUUCAAACAAUGUCUAACCUUCUUCCUUGUUUAAUGUGAAUUACAGCCUUGCACUGAUCUAGUGCCUUUUGCCUAAACCUGUAAAAUCACUUUAGAGACUCUGGUAACUGCUAAGGUUACCAUUAUUUAGCAGCACAUUGUAACAGUUUGCAGCAGUUGCUUAGAGGGUGUGAAUAACCCCAUUUCCAAUUUAAAUUAUUGGAGGAAUUACAGGAGACCGUGUAAUUUUCAAACUGGAACUAGAUCCAGGCACCAGGGCUUUAUACCUGUCUUCUUAAGAAAGUCAUAAAGGGCUUUUUUAUAAUGACCUAGCCAAUAUCUUGGUUUUGUGUUUCAUCCCCAAAUUGAUGCCUUGAACAGUGUGCACUCCUACUUUGGAGGAUUACUUCAGUGUGGUUCACUGCUUAUUCACAAUGAAAAAACAACAUUGAAUUAAAGUCCCUCUCUGCUGCCUCAGGUUAGCAUUUUGCAUUACAUCAGCAGCUGUGGUAGUUGUGAGAUCAAGCCCCAAAAUUACUGUGAAAUCUAUCUUCCAGUUUUUGGAGAGUGGAUCUGUAAUAUCCAUGUAACAUUGAGAACAGUGAACUUGGGGCUUGUGAAUUCUUUCACUCCUCUUUAUCCUGACUUGCCAGUAAUUUAAUUAGUGCUAAACAGUCUGCACACAGACUCGCAGAAGUUAAAAGACUGACUGACACAGGAUUCUCUUUCAGUGACUUUUCCUCUUUUGCUCAUGUGCUGGAUGGAACUAUGCUGUGUUUGGAAGUCGAUCAAUAAUGAUUGCACAAUUCUAACCUCAUUUAAACUAUGAUAUAAACAGACAUGAUAGAAAUGGAUGCUACCAGUUUUUUUCCUACUUAAAAGUGAAGUCAGCCUUUUUGUUUUUCUGCUUCGCCCCCCCCCCCCCUUUUCCCCCCCUUUUUGGUUCCAACAAAACUCUAACCUGGAAGAAAAGCAAUUAGACUUUUUGAAAUCCCAACUCAGUGUAGCAUUUGGCUUUGGUAAAUGUGGAAGCCAAAAAUAAACAUCUGCUUGGCAACUUCACUAGAAGUUAACUGUAAAUGCAGUUUUCAUCUUUUGAGUGAAUGUGGCAUUCAGUGCUGAUUAACAUCUAUUAAGGAGAAUGAUCCAUAGUUGAAGCUGUAAAGCAUAUUUUUUUCUUUUUUAAUUACAGUUAUGAACCUCCAUUGCCUUGGGGAAAUCCCCUACCCCAGUUUCUUUCCAGAUCUAAUUUCUUAGGUGCCAAAGCAUUGAGCUUUUCUUGAAAGUUUGAAAGUAGUUGGAUGGGAUAUUUGUGAGUUAUUAGACAUUGGAAAGGAGAUGAUCUUCCCAUCAAUCUGUGCAUGAUAUGGAGGAUAUGGAGUUACAGUUAGAAGUGUAUUAGAGAAAAUGUAAGCAGUUCCACUCUUUUCUCCAGGAGGGUGAAGUCUGCACAUGAUAGGGACUCUCCCAGGAUACCAGACCAGCCAUGGGCUCCGGUCCUGACAGGACACAGCUGCAAACAUCUUUAAUAACCUUAUCAUGUAAGAUCUCUGCUUUUCAACAAAUCUUUUGCAACCUCUGCUCCUACCACAGCAAAUUUGUUGUACUGUGGUUAGGGAGGAUUGAAGUGGAUGCAGAUUUUUGGUAGCAUGCUAUUGGGACAGUGGGGAGGGGUGAGAAGGGUCAACUUGAGGCAUCAAUAAGGGAAACAUAUCAUUAUUGCUAGGGAUGGUGGUUAUUUGUAGGAUCUUUCUUCUAGAACUGAACAGUGCUAUGAUUUAGGACUUCAGUAAUAUGGUGUAAAAAGCUUUUGGGAAGGGAGAAGUUUUUUAGUAUAUUUCUGACAUAUAUGGCUUGAGGCAAGGAUUCUCAGCAUUAAAUGAAGAAAGGUCUGCCAGGGAAAUUUGUCAGAGAAUGCAUGGUGUAAAUAUGCCAGGCUUUUUAUACAGAGCUGAGGGUAGUGAGUACCAGACAAUGGAGGGAUGCAAAUUUCCCAGUAAGGCAGUAGUUACUCAGGAAAUGUGCUCACAAAUCCUGAUAACAAGCACCGUAUGCGGGGGUGAGGGAAGAAGUGAAGGAAGGGUGUUGUAUGUUCCUCCUGGCACCCACUUUAUAUAUGUACAGUAUAAAUGUGUUCAUCUGGUACCUUCUACUGCUCAUAAAAACUUGAUUCCACAAACAUUUUUCUCUGUGAAUAAAGGGGGAGCUGGAGAGAAUAUAUAAUCCCCUUGCUGAGUGUUUGUGAAUAGUUAAUUCCUCUUCUCCACCUGGUGAAUCAUCAUUUAUGAUAUGAUAGCAGCAGUUAUAUCCAGCAGAACCA